This 1593-nucleotide long non-coding RNA is filed under the name Lathyrus oleraceus (garden pea). Its description in RNAcentral is "Pisum sativum (pea) long non-coding RNA (PSAT_LNC003390)". The record is from RNAcentral. Lineage: Eukaryota; Viridiplantae; Streptophyta; Magnoliopsida; Fabales; Fabaceae.
AGAAUCAAUAUUGAAUCAUAUGAUGCAUUCUAUGCAGAACGCGCACCCAUGUGUCAUACAAUAUGUUCCAAACAUCUUGCUCAACAAGUUUCUUGAACUUGAACAAACUUUAACACUAAAUAAAACUAACCAACUCAUUGUAAUAACCUCUGGGAGAAAACAUAACACUCAAAUUUACUCACGAAACUUGACUUAUAGACUGAGACCAGAUGAUGCACACAUAUUGGAACAUCUUAUCCCAUAUGAUGCCUCUUCAUAAUUUACAUUUUGUGUUGUCCAUGUUGUUUUACCAAAUGCGGUCACUCAAAAGGAACAACAAAACUGAAAAUUGCAUAAGGAAUAACAUUCUCAAUAACAACAUUGAGCAACAAAAAUAACAACAUAAUAUUUUACCUAUAUCAACAAAAAAAUAACAACGCAACUAACAAAAAAAACACAACAAUACCAUAUAUAACUCAACAAAACAACAUAUAUAACUCAACAAAAAACAUAAACAUUAACAAAAAAACAUUAUACUUGUAUCAACAAAAACAACAACAUAACUCAACAAAAGUAACAACAUAACUAAUAAAAACCACAUCAAUAUCUGAAACCUUUUACUUGUCUUAACAAAAAUAACAUAUAUAACUCAACAAUAACAUCAAAAUUAACGAAAAUAUUAUACUUGUAUAAAAAAAAUAGCAUAGCUCAACAAAAACAACAACAUAUAUAAUUAAAUAAAAACAACUUAUACAACUCAACAAAAUCAACAUAUAUAACUCAACAAAAACACCAACAUUAACAAAUACAUCUUACUUGUAUCAACAAAAAUAACAACAUAACUAAAAAAAAACAUAACUAAUAAAACCACAACAAUAACAUAAAUCUUUUACUAUUAUCUCAACAAAAAUGUCAAGAUUAACAAAAAUCUUUUACUUGUAUCAACAAAAGUAACAACAUAACUCAACAAAAAAAAAACAUAACUCAACAAAAAAACAACAAUAAAACUGAAAAAACCACAACAAUAACAUAUAUAACUCAACAUAAACAACAUAUAUUACUCAACAAAAACAUCAACGUUAACAAAAACCUCUUACUUGUAUCAACAAGAACAACAACAUAACUAACAAUAACAUAAAAUUUUCAAUUAUCUCAACAAAAACAACAACAUAAAACCUUUAAUCUAAUCUUAAUAACAACAACAAUAAUUGUUAACCUACUUAUUAACUCAACAAAAUAAGAAAACAACUCCACAAAAAAAGCAUUCAAUAUAUAUGAUUUAAUGUCUCAGUAAAAAGAAAAACAAUAAAUCCUAAAAGACAAAUAGUUUUAACAACAAAAAAAAUUAAAGAAUGGUGGAAAAUGUUUCACGUACAUACCGGAAAUGUGAAGAGGAAGACAAAGAAAUGAGUUUCAUGUUUUUGUUUUGCAAAGAUUUGUGACACAUUUCCUUGAUCCAUACUAAUUGAAGAAGUUAUGUUUGAGUUUUGUAAAAAUAUGUUGAAGUUUUGUGAGAUUGAGAUAAGGUAGAGUUUCAUGUAUGAAGUGCAAAUUGUUCUGAAGUGAGUUAAGUUAGUUUAUAUAGGUAAAAUAUUUCAUCACAGUUGAUAAAGG